GGGUCAGUAGGUUGGUCGUGCCACCGGUACGUACUGGUCUCAAUGAUUCCUCCUUCCUGAAGAACCGUAAUGCCAUUAAUUUGGUGUUGCGGGGAAACAGGACUGUUACUUUGAAAAAAUUAGAGUGUUUAAAGCAAGCUAACGCUUGAAUACAUUAGCAUGGAAUAAUGAAAUAGGACGAUCGAUCCUAUUUUGUUGGUUUCUAGGAUUGACGUAAUGAUUAAUAGGGAUAGUUGUU
Molecule: ribosomal RNA, 238 nt
Filed under: Glomeromycotina sp.
Lineage: Eukaryota; Fungi; Glomeromycota
Description: partial small subunit ribosomal RNA
Rfam family: Eukaryotic small subunit ribosomal RNA (bases 40-238)
Source: RNAcentral